RNAcentral lists this ribosomal RNA (710 nucleotides) under Simocybe sp. PDD 95840. RNAcentral describes it as "eukaryotic LSU rRNA". The stretch from base 306 to 459 matches the Rfam family "5.8S ribosomal RNA". Lineage: Eukaryota; Fungi; Basidiomycota; Agaricomycetes; Agaricales; Crepidotaceae. The record is from RNAcentral.
UAGAGGAAGUAAAAGUCGUAACAAGGUUUCCGUAGGUGAACCUGCGGAAGGAUCAUUAUUGAAUAAACCUGGCUUGCUGAUGCUGGUCUCCUCGGAGGCAUGUGCUCGUUUGCCUUCUUUAUAUCUCCACCUGUGCACUCUMUGUAGAACUGGGAGCAACAUUGUCUGAGGCAACUCAGGAAAUGGGACUGCUGUGCCACCCGUGCCAGCUUUCCUUGYGCUCUCCAGGGCUACGUUUUUCACAUACCCCAAURAAAUGUAACAGAAUGUAUCACUGGGUCUUUGUACCUAUAAAACAAAUAUACAACUUUCAGCAACGGAUCUCUUGGCUCUCGCAUCGAUGAAGAACGCAGCGAAAUGCGAUAAGUAAUGUGAAUUGCAGAAUUCAGUGAAUCAUCGAAUCUUUGAACGCAACUUGCGCUCCUUGGUAUUCCGAGGAGCAUGCCUGUUUGAGUGUCAUUAAUUUCUCAACCUUACCAGCUUUCGCRAAGUGAGGCUUGGAUGUGGGGGUAUUUGCUGGCUUCUAGCGAGGUCAGCUCCCCUGAAAUGCAUUAGCGGUGCCCUUGUGGACCCGACUAUCAGUGUGAUAACUAUCUACGCUGUUGGUUGACCACGCCUUUAUUGGGUUGUGCUGCUUCAAAUCGUCUUCGGACAACUACUUGACAAUUUUGACCUCAAAUCAGGUAGGACUACCCGCUGAACUUAAGCAU